Molecule: small RNA, 25 nt
Filed under: Arabidopsis thaliana (thale cress)
Lineage: Eukaryota; Viridiplantae; Streptophyta; Magnoliopsida; Brassicales; Brassicaceae
Description: ATSL108310
Source: RNAcentral
AAGAAGAAGAACAAGAAGAAGAUCA